CACGUAGGGUGCGAGCGUUGUCCGGAAUUAUUGGGCGUAAAGAGCUCGUAGGCGGUGUGUCGCGUCGGCCGUGAAAACCUGCAGCUUAACUGUGGGCUUGCGGUCGAUACGGGCAUCACUGGAGUUCGGCAGGGGAGACUGGAAUUCCUGGUGUAGCGGUGAAAUGCGCAGAUAUCAGGAAGAACACCAAUGGCGAAGGCAGCUCUCUGGGACGGUACUGACACUGAGACGCGAAAGCGUGGGGAGCGAACAGG
This 254-nucleotide ribosomal RNA is filed under the name uncultured bacterium. RNAcentral describes it as "partial 16S ribosomal RNA". It matches the Rfam family "Bacterial small subunit ribosomal RNA", at positions 524 to 776 of the family's 1533-position model. The record is from RNAcentral.